UACGGAGGAUGCAAGCGUUAUCCGGAUUCAUUGGGUUUAAAGGGUGCGUAGGCGGGCUAUUAAGUCAGUGGUGAAAUCCUGCAGCUUAACUGCAGAACUGCCGUUGAUACUGAUAGUCUUGAGUUUGGUUAAGGUAGGCGGAAUGUGUAAUGUAGCGGUGAAAUGCAUAGAUAUCACGAGGAACUCCGAUUGCGAAGGCAGCUUACUAAGCUACUACUGACGCUCAGGCACGAAGGCGUGGGGAUCAAACAGGA
Molecule: ribosomal RNA, 254 nt
Filed under: uncultured prokaryote
Description: partial 16S ribosomal RNA
Rfam family: Bacterial small subunit ribosomal RNA
Source: RNAcentral